Molecule: ribosomal RNA, 920 nt
Filed under: uncultured bacterium
Lineage: Bacteria
Description: bacterial SSU rRNA
Rfam family: Bacterial small subunit ribosomal RNA
Source: RNAcentral
AGUGUAGGCGGUUUGUUAAGCGUGUUGUGAAAUUUAGGUGCUCAACAUUUAACUUGCAGCGCGAACUGGCGAACUUGAGUGCACACAACGUAUGCGGAAUUCAUGGUGUAGCGGUGAAAUGCUUAGAUAUCAUGAAGAACUCCGAUUGCGAAGGCAGCGUACGGGAGUGUAACUGACGCUUAAGCUCGAAGGUGCGGGUAUCGAACAGGAUUAGAUACCCUGGUAGUCCGCACAGUAAACGAUGGAUGCCCGCUGUUAGCGCCUGGCGUUAGCGGCUAAGCGAAAGCAUUAAGCAUCCCACCUGGGGAGUACGCCGGCAACGGUGAAACUCAAAGGAAUUGACGGGGGCCCGCACAAGCGGAGGAACAUGUGGUUUAAUUCGAUGAUACGCGAGGAACCUUACCCGGGCUUGAAUUGCAGAUGUAGGAUACAGAGAUGUUGACGCCCUUCGGGGCAUCUGCGAAGGUGCUGCAUGGUUGUCGUCAGCUCGUGCCGUGAGGUGUCGGCUUAAGUGCCAUAACGAGCGCAACCCCUUUUCUUAGUUGCCAUCAGGUAAUGCUGGGCACUCUGGGAACACUGCCACCGCAAGGUGUGAGGAAGGUGGGGAUGACGUCAAAUCAGCACGGCCCUUACGUCCGGGGCUACACACGUGUUACAAUGGCCGGUACAGAGGGACGGUGUAAUGUAAAUUGCAUCAAAUCUUUAAAGCCGGUCCCAGUUCGGACUGAGGUCUGCAACCCGACCUCACGAAGCUGGAUUCGCUAGUAAUCGCGCAUCAGCCAUGGCGCGGUGAAUACGUUCCCGGGCCUUGUACACACCGCCCGUCAAGCCAUGAAAGCCGGGGGUGCCUGAAGUUCGUAACCGCAAGGAGCGACCUAGGGCAAAACUGGUAAUUGGGGCUAAGUCGUAACAAGGUAACC